AUUGAACGCUGGCGGCAGGCCUAACACAUGCAAGUCGAACGAAAGGCGGACGGGUGAGUAAUGUCUGGGCAAAUGCGUGGUGGAGGGGGAUGCCAACGGGAAACGGUAGCCGAUAACGCCUACCAUCAGCUGUGCCCAGAUGGGAUGAGCUUGUUGGUGGGGUAACGGCUCACCAAGGCGACGAUCCCUAGCUGGUUUAAGAGGAUGACCAGCCACACUGGAACUGAGACACGGGCCAGACUCCUACGGGAGGCAGCAGUGGGGAAUAUUGCACAAGGGGGGCAAGCCUGAUGCAGCCAUGCCGCGUGUAUGAAGAAGGCCUUCGGGUUGUAAAGUACUUUCGGCGGGGAGGCGUUACCCGCAGAAUAAGCACCGGCUAACUCCGUGCCAGCCGCCGCGGUAAUAC
This 406-nucleotide ribosomal RNA is filed under the name uncultured bacterium. RNAcentral's name for it is "partial 16S ribosomal RNA". It matches the Rfam family "Bacterial small subunit ribosomal RNA", at positions 29 to 526 of the family's 1533-position model. The record is from RNAcentral.